Molecule: long non-coding RNA, 1523 nt
Filed under: Bemisia tabaci
Lineage: Eukaryota; Metazoa; Arthropoda; Insecta; Hemiptera; Aleyrodidae
Description: lncRNA ENSSSA1NGG004426
Source: RNAcentral
ACGCUCGUAAGUUCAAAUUCUACGCCGGUAACGGGCGGGGAGGGGGGGCAUUGUUUAUUUGACAACUUUCUCUCCCCCUCUGUGUCUGCGCGGCAUCGUUCUCUCUCGCUCUAUUGCUCCUCCCAAGAUCCGAGCGGAGCCAGUUCCAGUAACAGACUGACCUUUUUAAAAAACAGAUUGGCCAUCGGUAUCCCGUCUCAGCUUCGGUACGAUUUACCCCUGUUUAUUUUUCGGUCCCUUAAAAUUCGGUCGCUCGUGAAGUUUGGACGACGUGUGACGUUUUUUCGUCAUCAUCCUCAUCUCUGGAAGGUGCUCCAGAGUAAAUUUUUAGAAAUUAAAAUGACCUCUACGAUUCUAUUGCUGCUUUUAGCGUGCGUCACGAUCUGCGUCAAAUCAUCGCCUCUCCCUCAAACAAGCACAGAGGGAGGGAAUAAGAAGUCGCCUUCAGGUUAGUAAAGUUUGAUUUUAUUACAACUACCUUAGAAUUGUUUUACGUUGCUAUUUGCAUAUGAUAUUGUCACAUUUUAAAAACUCUUCAAGAACUACAUUAUAUGCCAAACAUCCUCCAAAAUCAAGUACCUUCAUGGUAGUCUAUGCUUGGAGGUAGACGUUUGAUAGAAAGUCAUUGUAAUGUUGUCGAAGUGUUAGGUUUCGUAGGUAACGCUAAAAAAAUGUUUUUCUUCCUUUUUUUUACAUCAAUCCAUUAUCUGAAAAAACGAACAUGUGCACAUAAUAGUCUGUUUCUAAGAUUGGAACUCAAUAAAUAAGUGUCGUAUCUGUCACUCAAGAGGAAUGCGACGAGAUAACCUCGAUCCUUGUAUAUUCCACCAUACCUAAUGAAGAGGUUCCUCUAACCUAUAUGUCACCGGCGAACAGCUGCGGCCGGUCCAAAGACAUAAAGACGGAGUGCUAAAAGCAAAAAAUGAAGCUUCUUUUCAACCACCUCUACUAUUGGCUAGAGGAUUGGCGGAAAAAUCGGGACAAGUUUGAAAUUCAAAUGUAGGGCGGGAACUAAAUAAAAUUGCGAAAACAAAGUAUUCUAGGUUGAUUUUUGCGCAAAUUCACUUACCCACUCAUAUUUUCGUAACUUUAGGUUAGUUUUGGUCCGUCGUCGACCGAUUAAUUUCAUUUGGGAGUAACGGUCAUCUAGGACUGUAACGGCCGGUCCGGCCUCACCAUGCGCAGAAGAAAAACUAACUUUAUUUGAAAUUACUGCCUGUUACGGAGAAAAAGUAAGUGUAUUAUACUAGGUCGCAGUCCCAACUUUCUUAAUAUAUUCGUUUUAGGCAUUUAAAAUACGUUUAGAAGAAGAAAUGUGGAAAAAUCAAGAGGACAAGUUCAAAUCAAAUUUCCGUUUGCCGCCAUGGAUUCCCGCGCUCAUGUACACACUCACACAAGCACCCAGAGCCAAACCAGGCUUCACUUUUUCCCCGUGCUUUUAGAUACGAGCACUCCGUCUUUAUGUCUUUGGGCCGGUCGGCGCUAUAACAGCACCCCCCCCCCCUCCCUCAACCCGUAAAAUG